This 680-nucleotide ribosomal RNA is filed under the name Irpex lacteus. RNAcentral describes it as "eukaryotic LSU rRNA". The stretch from base 267 to 420 matches the Rfam family "5.8S ribosomal RNA". The record is from RNAcentral. Lineage: Eukaryota; Fungi; Basidiomycota; Agaricomycetes; Polyporales; Irpicaceae.
AAAGUCGUAACAAGGUUUCCGUAGGUGAACCUGCGGAAGGAUCAUUAUCGAGUUUUGAACGGGUUGUAGCUGGCCUCUCACGAGGCAUGUGCACGCCUGGCUCAUCCACUCUUAACCUCUGUGCACUUUAUGUAAGAGAAAAAAAUGGUGGAAGCUUCCAGGAUCUCGCGAGAGGUCUUCGGUUGAACAAGCCGUUUUUCUUUCUUAUGUUUUACUACAAACGCUUCAGUUAUAGAAUGUCAACUGUGUAUAACACAUUUAUAUACAACUUUCAGCAACGGAUCUCUUGGCUCUCGCAUCGAUGAAGAACGCAGCGAAAUGCGAUAAGUAAUGUGAAUUGCAGAAUUCAGUGAAUCAUCGAAUCUUUGAACGCACCUUGCACUCCUUGGUAUUCCGAGGAGUAUGCCUGUUUGAGUCUCAUGGUAUUCUCAACCCCUAAAUUUUUGUAAUGAAGGUUUAGCGGGCUUGGACUUGGAGGUUGUGUCGGCCCUUGUCGGUCGACUCCUCUGAAAUGCAUUAGCGUGAAUCUUACGGAUCGCCUUCAGUGUGAUAAUUAUCUGCGCUGUGGUGUUGAAGUAUUUAUGGUGUUCAUGCUUCGAACCGUCUCCUUGCCGAGACAAUCAUUUGACAAUCUGAGCUCAAAUCAGGUAGGACUACCCGCUGAACUUAAGCAUAUCAAA